AGGAGCAGCAUGCAGUCGUACAGCUCAACCGAGUUUACGGUAACCGGGAGAAGGUUACGGCGAACAUUACUGUUGACUGUGUGUGUGUGUGUCUCUGUGUGUGUGUUGUGUGGAAGACAUAAAAGGCUUUGUGAGGCUGAAUAGGAAGACUUCUGCGUAGAGAAGGACUGAAGAAGGAAUGAGAACACUUUAUUAGAACCAAGGACACAUGCAACAAAUACACAGCAUUACGCAAGACCUAUGUGUCCCCCCCCAAGAGGAAUCGAAACGCAAGUGUACCUGGCCAGCUACCAGGGCGAAGAUGAUGGAACACAACAAUAGCAGAGUCUGGCUUGGAGAGCUGGACCAUGUAUCUAAAUCCGUUUUCUAACAGGGUCUGACAGCUGUUGGGAAGAAUUUAAAACCUAGGCCUAUUCAUGUGUCUACAUUUCUCACACGAUUUCUUUAUAUUAUGCAAUUGUUUUUCUUUCCACAGACCACUGAGGAGGUUACCGGAAUCCAGAAUCAGGAAUAAAGUAAUGUGUAUGAUGAAGUUAAAUAUGGUAGAAUGGGUUCAAUAAUAACUGAAAGAGAUAUUUUUGGGACGCCUAACGUCAAACAAGUAAAACGUUGAUAUUUUACCUGCUUGCAGUAAAGACCAAUCCAUCGUAAGAGAAGGAAGUGAAAUGUAAGGCUACUGAUUAGAUCCUAGAGGAACACGAUAGGAUUGAGAAGGCUCAGUGAGCUGGACCUCGAGGGGCAAUCCGUUUGCUGACUUGCUAUCGUAUUAUUAAAUUAAAAGUAUCUUUAUUUUGAUAGAAAUCUGGCACUUUAUUUGAAUAAGUGUUAUUUUGUGCUUUUCAAAAAAGUAAUAUAUAUUGUCUGCUGCCCAGGUUUCCAGACUGACAAGUAUUUGCUCAUGCGCUCAUGAUGUGAUAAAAAUUUUAUAAUAUUUUCUUGUGUAGUAUGUCUGUGGAGAACACAAUAAUCUACUUGGGUAAAAACAUUCACGAGGUCUCUCUACUUUUGCUCCAGACAAUUUGUGUGCAUUUUGACAGAAUGUUGGGGAAUUACUAAAUGGGAAUCUUGACCCACUGAGGACUUCUGAAUAGUCCUCCCAUGAAGCCGCUUAAUGAAUUAAUCUGUAGUUUAUUAUAUUUCAGUUUUCUAUGAUGUAAUACCAAGUGCAUUAUUGGGAUUCAACCUUAAAAUAAAAAUGCAGUAAACACAGAUUGUUUUGUAAGUCCCCGAAAUCUUGGUUUGUUGCAAGCCGUGGUGUAAACCUAGGGCAACUUAGAGGAGGCAUUGAGCAUUUACCCAGACACUCUUCAAUGCUACAAAAAAAAAUCAUUUUAGCCUUGUUUGUUGUAUUAUCCAGAUGGAAAAGGGAACAACAGAAAAUCUAAAAACGUGUCAAGGUGAAAUCACUCUAACUCAUCGUUGGGCAAUGUCAGCGUGGGCAGCUCUCUCAAUCAGAGAAUGACAGGAAGAGCUACAGCGAGGCUUUCAUCACAAGGCCUUUAAACUCACCCUCAUGCAAGCACAACAUAUAACGUUGUGGAAUAACAAAAAUCACAGUGAAUGCACUCAAUUGCUGAAGCCCAAACUAUUCUGAUUACCCUCAAAGGUCUGGAGCCUGCUGGUUUUUCUCCUCUUCCUCAUCUUUGAUGUCACCCACUUGGUGUCUCAGGCCUAAAUAAGUCCCUGAUUCGAGGGUUGAAAUUAAAAAAACUGGAGUGGACCUGUCCUCAAGGUGCCGAGUUCAGUUUGAUAGUUAAAUACAUUUGUCGUGGAGGAAACACAGAGGAAUGAGAGAGAUCUGUGAGCUAUACUUGGUUCUCUCAGGGUUGUUAGCAGGUGGUUGUUCUCUCUUUGAUGAUACAGUACUGUGCAAAAGUCUUAGGCACCUGAAAUUCAAACUUAAGACAUUCAUUU
Long non-coding RNA from Esox lucius (northern pike), 1914 nucleotides. Lineage: Eukaryota; Metazoa; Chordata; Actinopteri; Esociformes; Esocidae. The record is from Ensembl.